Molecule: long non-coding RNA, 225 nt
Filed under: Olea europaea (common olive)
Lineage: Eukaryota; Viridiplantae; Streptophyta; Magnoliopsida; Lamiales; Oleaceae
Description: long non-coding RNA (OEUR_LNC009500)
Source: RNAcentral
GUGUCAGAUGUAUUUAAUUUCUAUGACGGAUUAAAAACACAAAUGAUUGAAGAAUCAACAAAACAAGAAACUCGCUAUCAUGCCAUUCUUGAACAGCAAGAACUCACUACCAAAGGAUUCAUGACAAUCAAAAACAAUUUUUCUGACAUCAGCAAAAAAGCCAACAAGACUACUUCCAUAACAUGCAAUCUAGCAUGCAAUCUUAUGUGGAUACCAGUUUCAACU